Molecule: small nuclear RNA, 191 nt
Organism: Pygocentrus nattereri (red-bellied piranha)
Lineage: Eukaryota; Metazoa; Chordata; Actinopteri; Characiformes; Serrasalmidae
Gene: U2
Rfam family: U2 spliceosomal RNA
About the family: U2 is a small nuclear RNA (snRNA) component of the spliceosome (involved in pre-mRNA splicing). Complementary binding between U2 snRNA (in an area lying towards the 5' end but 3' to hairpin I) and the branchpoint sequence (BPS) of the intron results the bulging out of an unpaired adenosine, on the BPS, which initiates a nucleophilic attack at the intronic 5' splice site, thus starting the first of two transesterification reactions that mediate splicing.
Source: Ensembl
AUGGCUUCUCAGCCUUUUGGCUAAGAUCAAGGGUAGUAUGUGUUCUUAUCAAUUUAAUAUCUGAUAUGUCCUCUAUAUGAGGACUACAUAUUAAAUUGUUUUUUAGAGCAGGGAGAUGGAAGAGGGGCUUGCUCCAUCUGCUCCACGCAUUGACCUGGUAUUGCAGUACCUCCGGGAACGGUGCACCUCCU